This 1342-nucleotide ribosomal RNA is filed under the name Georgenia sp. T04-04. RNAcentral describes it as "16S ribosomal RNA". It matches the Rfam family "Bacterial small subunit ribosomal RNA", at positions 77 to 1428 of the family's 1533-position model. The record is from RNAcentral. Lineage: Bacteria; Bacillati; Actinomycetota; Actinomycetes; Allobogoriellales; Allobogoriellaceae.
AGCUUGCUGGGUGGAUUAGUGGCGAACGGGUGAGUAACACGUGAGUAACCUGCCCCUGACUUCGGGAUAACUACGAGAAAUCGUGGCUAAUACCGGAUAUGCACAUGUGCCUGCAUGGGUGUGUGUGGAAAGAUUUAUCGGUUGGGGAUGGGCUCGCGGCCUAUCAGCUUGUUGGUGGGGUGAUGGCCUACCAAGGCGACGACGGGUAGCCGGCCUGAGAGGGUGACCGGCCACACUGGGACUGAGACACGGCCCAGACUCCUACGGGAGGCAGCAGUGGGGAAUAUUGCACAAUGGGCGAAAGCCUGAUGCAGCGACGCCGCGUGAGGGAUGACGGCCUUCGGGUUGUAAACCUCUUUCAGUAGGGAAGAAGCUCUUCGGAGUGACGGUACCUGCAGAAGAAGCGCCGGCUAACUACGUGCCAGCAGCCGCGGUAAUACGUAGGGCGCAAGCGUUGUCCGGAAUUAUUGGGCGUAAAGAGCUCGUAGGCGGUUUGUCGCGUCUGCUGUGAAAACGCAAGGCUUAACCUUGCGCCUGCAGUGGGUACGGGCAGACUAGAGUGCGGUAGGGGAGACUGGAAUUCCUGGUGUAGCGGUGGAAUGCGCAGAUAUCAGGAGGAACACCGAUGGCGAAGGCAGGUCUCUGGGCCGUUACUGACGCUGAGGAGCGAAAGCAUGGGGAGCGAACAGGAUUAGAUACCCUGGUAGUCCAUGCCGUAAACGUUGGGCACUAGGUGUGGGAUCCAUUCCACGGGUUCCGUGCCGCAGCUAACGCAUUAAGUGCCCCGCCUGGGGAGUACGGCCGCAAGGCUAAAACUCAAAGGAAUUGACGGGGGCCCGCACAAGCGGCGGAGCAUGCGGAUUAAUUCGAUGCAACGCGAAGAACCUUACCAAGGCUUGACAUACACCGGAAAAGUGCAGAGAUGUGCUCCCCGUAAGGUCGGUGUACAGGUGGUGCAUGGUUGUCGUCAGCUCGUGUCGUGAGAUGUUGGGUUAAGUCCCGCAACGAGCGCAACCCUUGUCCUGUGUUGCCAGCGGGUUAUGCCGGGGACUCAUGGGAGACUGCCGGGGUCAACUCGGAGGAAGGUGGGGAUGACGUCAAAUCAUCAUGCCCCUUAUGUCUUGGGCUUCACGCAUGCUACAAUGGCCGGUACAAAGGGCUGCGAUACCGCGAGGUGGAGCGAAUCCCAAAAAGCCGGUCUCAGUUCGGAUUGGGGUCUGCAACUCGACCCCAUGAAGUCGGAGUCGCUAGUAAUCGCAGAUCAGCAACGCUGCGGUGAAUACGUUCUCGGGCCUUGUACACACCGCCCGUCACGUCAUGAAAGUCGGUAACACCCGAAGCC